Molecule: long non-coding RNA, 922 nt
Filed under: Sus scrofa (pig)
Lineage: Eukaryota; Metazoa; Chordata; Mammalia; Artiodactyla; Suidae
Description: lncRNA (ENSSSCG00055026219.1)
Source: RNAcentral
GCGCUGCUGAGACCCGCGUGUGCGGAGGGAAGUGGGGAACUGCCCCUUUUCCAAGGGCCUGAACACAGCUUUUGACUACUGACUGUCCUGUUCUGCCUUCCUCUUCGCGUGGGCCACCGCCCCACAGCGCCGCUGGGUUCCCUUCGCGGCCGCAUGGUACGCGUCCCGGGAGCGAAGCUUCCCCUGGGGGGAGCGCGCUAACCUGAGCUCCUUCGGUGCACCGCCCUGCCGACUGUCUGGAAGUCAGCAAUGGGAUAUUCCCACCACAACUUUACCGGGAUCUCUGGGUUGACUCUCUGGGUUGAGGAUCGGGGAGCUGGGUCGGGAGGCUGGCUUGUGGCUGUGGUUGAGGGGCCCGGACGCCUCGAAAGCAGGAGGGUGCCCAGGCGAAGUGCAGGCUGCACCAUGCAAUCUUCCGGGCGCAGAGGCGACCCAACCCGACCUGAGGGAGAUCCACGGGCUCUGGGCCGAGGGGAGACGCAGUGGAAUGAACUGAACUGCUGGUCCACAAGAACAGUUUUUCUAUCAAAGGAUACCAUCAAAUUCUGGCGAAGUUCUACAAAUCAUAAUCUAUUUCCCUUUUUCCAGAAAGGCAACUUGAUUCGGGGGGAUAUGGCAGCUUCCACUCUGAGGUGCCCUUACUUCAAAUCAGGCCCAGCCCAAGAUCGUGUUUUCCCUAAGCUGGGCUCAUCAUCAGAGAGGUGGGGGCCGGGCCAAAUCUUAAAGAGCCACUUGGCGACUCUAACGACUGGCAAAGAGGAAAGAAAUUGGAAUUCUAGUAGCAUGUAUCCAACUGUUUCAAACCUCCACCUGCUACAUGGGCGUGGCUUCUGAGAUCGACAUGCUUCCAACAGCUUAUACAGAGUGAACGGCAGAUGCGUCCUUUGGGGGUGAUCUCAGGGACGUCAGAAAGUCCCUGCCU